UGAAUUAUUGAUCAAGAGAAUAGAAAAAACCCCAUGUAUAUGUGAAACUAUGCUCUUAGAACACCUUCUUCCAUGCUAUUGAAGCAGGCGAACAGGCGAGUGAGUGAAGAGAGAAGCCAUGCCUCUUUCAAGGUGAGGCAAGCGAUGAACAAGUAGAUGCUACCCUUAGACCUAUUCUCUCUUUUGGUAGCAUACACCAUGAUGGGCUAGGCUAGGAAACCAUAUUCGAUAUGAUAGGACAGGUAAACAAAGCAAGGCCUAGGUCGAGAGCCAAUUUCAUAUUCUCCGGUUCCAUUCCUGAUCGAACUCCCUUCCUGUCAUCGUAUCUUGUGUAAGAAUCGCUUUCAGGCUUCUUAUCGCUUUCUCAUCAGUGGCAGUUUUGUCUCCCGUCCCUAUCGAUUUGCAAGUUGCAAUCAGAAAGAUGAAGAUGGGUGCCAUAAGUCUAUCUUAGGCCAUCACAACAUAUUAGUUGCUCGUGCUAUGAUUGGUCGCCAACUUAACCUAUGGGCUAGCAUGACAUGAGCUAGCUCCUCUAUCAUGCCAUGAUAGGCAUGGUUUAAUUUGGUCGUGCCUUGUGAGGCUCUAGCUAGGUUGUGCUAGGCUGCUUAUUCGGGCAUGUAUAGAUGCAAUUACUUUUUGUGGCAGCUAAUUGGCCAUUAGAGCAUCUAUAUCCAUUGGCCAUAAGGAUAAACCAUGGGAGAGAGAAAUGAGUGAGAACUUGAGCUAAGUGAUGUAAGAGUGAGUCUUUCUUAAACUCACUCUUUAAAUCCUCAUUUUGAAUUCAAAGGUACUCAUAUAUACCACUAAGAAGAAGCAAUGCUAGAUAGAUACCCUUAGCACCUAUCAAGGGGUAAUAGUAGAUGUACAUGUUCUUAACGGGAUCAAAGAUGUAGGGGCCUUGGAUAGCUUAUCUAACGAUGUAUAUGUGAAGUUUACUGCUAAGAUUAAUGGCCAUCAAUCUCCAAAUAUAGUAAGUCUCUUUUGCAACUUCCAUGUUUUCUAUGCGUAAUUGGUUUUCCUACACAUUUAUGUACAGUUAUGUAAGUGCACUUUAUAUAAGAUAUAUAGAAACUAACAUACCAAUGCCUUGGGAUUUGUUGUUCGAUCUUCUUUUGUCUUGCCAUCAUGCAUCUUUAGGUUUAGCAUUCGAUAUAUUCUAGAUCAAACGUCUCCAAGAGACUGCUAGGUCCCAACAGAUAGAAAAGCUGCUCCAAUGAUGUUGCCUGACACCUUACCUCCGAAUAAACCUGAAAUUAUGGAAAGGGAGGGUACGAUGAAACAACCCUAAGAGCAACUCCAACAGUUUGGCAAUUUUUGUUGUGAAGGCUAUUUUAGAAUUUACAGAGUAAAAAAUAGGCUCCAAAUAGAUGUGUUAUCUGAUUUUGUAAAAUAGAAAGUUGGCUAUCUCUUGAUUUUCGGUGGCCAUAUAUAGCCAACCACUGACAAUGGCUAUCUGAUUUUGUAAAAUAGCAAGGUUGUUGUGAACUUCUUCUUUUCUUAAGCAGUUUUCUAUUUUACAAAAUGGCUAAAUAAUACAAAUUGGCUAUUAAGUUUAGCUAAGCUCUUAGAGUUGCCCAAUAUUGUACGUAUUUGAUCAUGAAUAAAACAUUUGAUUUUUUUGAGCAAGUAAUAAAACAUUUGAUGUGGUAGUGAAAUUGCAUGACCCUAAGGGUCCGAGAAGGCCCACUGUUAUAAAGUAGCAUCUAACUAGGCCUGAAAGGGCAUCGUGACUCAGAAGCCAGAAUUGGGCCGAGUCUACAUCUACUGACCCGGCAUAGUGUGCAGCAAGGGUAUAGCCUUGUGGGCCAGGAAGGCCAACCUACUGGACCCAAGUACCCAACGACCACGCAUGGCCCAUGUACCCCUUGGUUAAGUUCCGGGCCGGCUCCGGCUGAAGCCCAGGCCCAGCGGCUCGCCGACGCCCCCAACGCAAAAACGGCAAUACACCCCCACCUGCCACCUUCCCCACGCGUCGGGCACGAAAGGCACGGAAACCGACGAGGCGUUUCCGUUUCCGGCGUGCCUCGCACCGUGUUCAAUCGAGCCGGAACGAACCCCAAACAAACCCAAAUGCUCGAUCCGGCGGAUCGAUCGCGUCCAAUCUGGAGCCAGCCAGCAGAAAAUCCCGGUCUUGUGACCCGAUUCCGACUGCCACGGGGAAGCGCCGGCCCCCAAAUCAUCACUGCCUGCAUCGACUCGGCACGGCACGGGCACCCCCGGGCCGUCGGCUCCUCGUGUCUCAGCAUAAAUCGACGGCCUUUUGUCCGUCCGGCGGCUGCUCGGAUCACACUACCAGCGCUAGGCCUAGGGUUUGGUAUCGAGCGGAUCGAUCGAAGCCAUGGAGAGCGAGGGCAACGCCGCCGCCGCUGGUGCUGGUGCUGGUGCUGGUGCUGGCAACUGGGAGGCGCCGAACGGGGUGAUCGUGCUGCCCGCGGGGUCGGCGGCGCCGAGGUUCCUGCAGCAGGAGCCCCACUACCUGCGGCGGAAGCGUGAGAUGGAGCGGGAGCAGCAGGACGCGGAGGCGGCGGGGGCGGACCCGGGGGUUUUGGGGCUGGACCUCAGGCAGCCGCCGGAGAAGGUGUACUACAAGACUAGGCUGUGCGAGAAGUUCGAGGCUGGCAAGUGCGCGUACGAGGACGGGUGCACCUUCGCGCACGGCUUCGACGAGCUGCGCCCGCCGCUGCCCGUGCCGACCGCGCUCAUCCGGCGCAGGUCGCCGCUGCGGCCGCGGUCGUCGUCGCCUGGUGGUGCCGCCGCCGACGGCUCGCAAGUCAGCGGCGGCUACCUUAGGGUGUGCUUCGAAUUCAGGGACACGGGGGCCUGCCACCGGGGGGAUAGGUGCGCCUUCGCCCACGCUUCCGUGGCAGCAGGUACGUGCGCGCUCGCUCCACGCCUCCCUAUACGUGUGCAUGGCGGCCGAUCGCUCCCGGAUCUCGCGGAUCGUGCCCUGAUCUACCUCGUCUCUGUGUUCUGGCGCAGACAUGCCCUUCCCUGGGGGGCCAAGGUCUGUGGAGCACGCGCUGAGGAACGCGUCGCCGUAUGUAAAGGCGUACUCCUCGCCGGGGUCCGCGGCCUCCGCGCACCGUAGCAGCAGCACCACCAGCAGCUUUGCACCGUCUUCCACAAGGGCGGUCCCGUCCAUUCCUGCCGACGCGGCCGGGGAGGGCCGUCGUCGCAAGGUCACCCGACUGGAGCUCCUGAGCCGCAAGAAGACGAGCGGCAUCUACGGCGACUGGCCGGGGCAGGAAUGAGUGCGCACCAUGCGUCGAAGCUGCCAUGUCUACCUUCCUGCCUUUAAGCGUGACAACAUCGUCCAGAAUAAUUAAAAGAACUGAGCGAUCUGCUAUUUUGAUUUGAACUGAUUUGAAAAUGUUGUGGUUGUAUUUCGUUUCCUGCUGAAUCCGUGCAUGUAAUCCGUCUGAUCAGACCUCUGUGCAUUCCUGCCAUCAUUUCUACUUUCAUAAGACUGGAAUAAUUUUAAGUGCUGUGCUGUUGCUUUCGCUCCUAGCUGUCCGUCGUCCUCUGUUGCCUCUGUUUGCCUUUGGGCCAAAUGGUUCCAUGGUUUUGACGCGGCCCAUUGGGCUCCCACACCAUUUCUUGCUGCGUGAGUGCGUGGUGUUGUGCGAGUCAGAGAGAGAGGGGGAGACUGGGAGAGGAACGGAGAGAAUUGUGGAUCUGUCAAUUUGCAGGGGAGUGAAAUUGGAUCCCAAGGACAAGGGGCAGAAGGUUGCAGAGCUGCAGCCAGCAGGGGGGAAGGGAAGAGGAGAUCAUGGGGUCUGGGAUUGGAGCAUUACUGGUGCUUGCUGCAGCAUGUCUAGCGUCUGCGCCGCCCUACAUUUCGGCUUCUUCCCGCAAGUAAGUUCCUUUCUCUUGCCUCUUGUUCUGAAGGAUUUGUUGGAUCUGCACAGCUGUUGUUUCAGAAACCAGUUGGGGUGGGCUUGUUGAUUUGUUUUCUAGGAAAGAUAUGUAAUUGGGUUCCCCUUCAUUUAUGCAACGGUUGUUGAUGUGGGAAAUGUUGCUAAUUAAGUAAUUAUUAUGCCUGCUCAAACCAAUUAACUGCAUGUUCUUUGAAGGGUAGUCUAUAUAUUGUUGUUUUUCAUCUAAUCAAGGAUAUGAAUGAGGUGACCACAUCAGAUGAUUAAAUUGGUGUAAGAAAUGACCCGUGUAACAUGAAAGGCAGUUCGAAAUCAACUGCAGACAGCCAAGCAAUUCAAUUAAAAGUACAAUAAAAGUGAAGAGAAAUUGGGAAGAAAUGGGAUAGAAAGCUAAUAUAUGCUGUAAAUGUGAGAGGAGGAUAGCUUGGAAAUCAAGAGUACUGGGGUAGAAAGAACUAAUGUAGAAUUGAAAUAACAGAGAAGAUAACAGGAGAUUACAGGAACCUGAGCUAAUAAGGAUGCAGUAAAACAUACUUCUCUAAUUUUUUAAAGUUUCCCGAAGAUUUUUGGUGUAAUUCAUUUACUUCUCUUUUGCAGAUUCGAUUUGAGUAUGACAGGACGAAAUUUAGAGAACUCUACAGAUGGCUCCUCUGCAACGUUACAUUUUGGUUUUGAUUCUUCAAAAUCGAUGCGACUGUCUUGGCAUCCAAGGUAUAUUUCAUCACUGCCCUCUAUAGUUUGAUAAACCAACAGCUUAUUCAGUUUCCAUGUUUAUACAGUGCAUCUAUUAUCCUGACUGCAAGGUUCAUGAAAUAUCUUAUCUUUGGAUACUUAUAAUGUUGUGCCUGGAAAUCUCUCUGCCUUGAAAAUCAUAUGGCCCUGAUAUGUUUUUUACUUCUGCUUUUUUUUUUUACUUGGAGGAGUACCUUGUUUCUUACCUUAAUUCAGGGUCUUCUUGUAUGAAGGUUUUCUUUCUGACAUGGAGUGCGACCACUUGAUAUCUAUGGUAUUCCAUUCUGCUUAUCACUGACAAUAUGUUCUCAUUGUCUUUGUGAUUGAAGAUAAUAUUUUCAUUGUUGCAGGCACAUGGUAAGAAGCAAUCAUCAUUAGUUGUUGGUGGCAGUGCUGGAAAUAAUUCCCAGGGUGCAAGCAUCGAAGUGUUCAUGGCUCAUAGCAAAGUGAGCCUAUACCUUCAUUUCAUGAUAUUCUGAUGAGUGGUUCUUUUAGGAUUUUGUAGAAAAGUUCAUGCAUAGAGACAUUGAAUCUCUUUAUUCAACAAUUUAGUAGGAGUAUUUUGUCUGUGAUUAAAUUAUCAUCUAUGAGCUAUGAUGAUAAUUAACAAAUGUGCACAUUACCAGACACCAAUCAAAUGAAACUGAAAUUCUGCCCCUUUCUGGUUGGCAACCCAUUAAAUAAAUGUGUAUUUCUUCAUGAUUAUUUACAGUCUGCAGUAGUAUAUCAUAGAUGUUAACAUAUCAACAUAACUGAAAGUCUGAAUUUACUAUCUUUUUCUCAUGGACUGUUCUGCUUUUAAAUUGAUUGUUUUAAUCUUAUUAUAUAUCUUAUCAUCCUUAUGAAGGACACAAUUGUUUCAACAAUUGAAGAUAGGAUAUCAGUAUGGAGCUUUCUUCCAAAAGGUACCACUUGGUUUACAUGAUAUGAUCUACUCUUUUGUAAUUCUGUGUAAACCUGUAUUCUUUGUUCUGGGAUAUUGAAAUUUUAUUGUUCGUCAGAUUUUGGAGAGAGUAUGCAGAUUUUGAAGUAUGAGGUGAACAAAAGUGACUAUAACAACUAUGAAUCUCAAUCAAGCAGUGGCCAUGAUAGGCUUGUGACAGUUUUGAUGUAUCUUUCUGAUGUCAAGAGAGGUGGUGAAACUGCCUUCCCCAGAUCUGAGGUAAUAUUGUUUUGCCAUUGCACCUACUUGUGACGACCCCUUUCCAGAAUAUUAUGUGCUUUUACUCUAUGCAUGAUUUCUUUUUUUUUAAUAUUUCAAUUGAUAUAUGGAAGAAAGUUCUUAUACCAAACAAUGUUUAUAGCUUAAGGGCACCAAAGUUGAGCUAGCGGCGCCUUCUGAAUGUGCUGGUUAUGCUGUACAACCUGUCAGGGGGAAUGCAAUUUUGCUAUUCAAUUUAAAGCCUGAUGGAGUAAUAGACAAGGAUAGCCAAUAUGAGAUGUGUUCUGUCCUCGAAGGUGAGGAAUGGCUGGCCAUAAAACAUAUCCAUUUGAGAAAGAUUGAUACUCCAAAAUCUUCAUUAGUGUCCGAGGAUGAGUGCACAGAUGAAGACGAUAGAUGUGUCAGUUGGGCUGCUGGUGGGGAAUGUGACAGGAAUCCGAUAUUUAUGAUAGGAACUCCAGACUACUAUGGGAGUUGUCGUAAGAGCUGCCGUGUGUGCUGAGUGUUUCAAGAUUUUCCUAGGUAGAAACAUGAUUGUUGUAGGCAGAGAAUGGCUCAACAAAGUUACAUGGUGCUAGAUUAUCAGCAAAUGUAGUUUGGAACUCAACCAAACAAUACACCUUUGUCUGGAUGUUUAAUAGUCAGGCAUUGUGGAAUAAUGCAGUUCUUGAUUCAGAGUUACAUGUGAGCAGGGUUAUCUGAUUCAUGGAUAAUGUGGUCAUUUUGUGGUAUGAGCUUUAUGGGUCCACUAUUGUGUUAUGCAGACGCUUUUACACCCUUUGGAGCAGACCUCACCAUUGGCCUCCGGAAAAAACUGAUCCGACCUGACUCAACCGGUGCACCUAGUUAUUAGGACCGGACCGGACUGGCGGUCGGACCGGUAAAAGACUGAACCAGAGUCUCUACCGAUCUGGUUCACUUAAAAGAUCGUCUGUGCAAUUGAACCGAUUAACCGGCCGGUUUUUUUACAGAACCGUUGAACCGGCCGGUUUUAUUUGAACCGCUCCGGUUUGUAAGAGGGCAUAUGGUGCGGUAGUUGUGUGUUGUGUGGCGUGGUGCUAGGCUGCUAGCUGGUGGACUACUGCCCCUGUCAUUGGUCCGCCCGCCUGCCUGCUCACGAUUGGAAGUGUCCCAUGCAUGGUGGCUUGCAGCAGCAGCUGCUGUUACUUUUUUUUUUGCUAGAGCCUGGAGCUGAGCUGAUGUCAGCAUUUUUCUUUAUAAAUUUCAGAAUUUCAUAACUUUUCUAAAUGAACUCAAAAUUAGACAAAUAAUAUAUCUAUUCCGAUUAUCUCAACAAGCUCUUCGAAGUGGCGCCCUUUGUUUUAUCACUCAAGAUUACUUUGCAAUGCUGAAUAUUUAAAUUACUAUUGAAGUCUUUUUGCACCAAUUUGUAAGUGCUCCAAGUUUAUGUUUUUCCACACAUUUUAUAUAUUGGGUAAACAACUCUAGAGAACCAUUACCUUGGAGUCUGUGUUGUGUACUUGUGAAUAGAUAAGUGAGAAGCAAGUUAUAUACUUGUAUUUUUUAUCAUUGUUCUCAUUUAUAUAUGUGGUUAAGUACAUGUUGCUAAUUAUAUGUUGCUAGUUAUCUAUUAUAUAUACUUAACCACAUAUAUAAAUAAGAACAAUGAUAAAAAAUUAGAACAAUGAUAUAUAUAUAUAUAUAUAUAUAUAUAUAUAUAUAUAUACACACACACACACCGGUUCAAAGUUUUUGUGAGCGGUUCAAUUCAUCCGGUUCAAAACUAUCGAACCGACGGUUCAACCGGUUCUUAACGAUUGGACCAGUGAACCGAUGGCUUUACCGGUUCGAUGUCCGGUCUGGUCUGUGAAAGUAGGCCGGUGCAUGCAUAAGGUGGAUCAGAGUCAUGAUUUUUGACCCGCAACAAUCAUUGGGUCAGGUCCAACACCCAACUCGAUAUGUCUGUUUGGUGGUGCGGGCAAGUAAUGAGCUCUACCGACUUUUACAAUAAAUCAGCAAACAAUACUAUAACUUUUUAGACAUGCAAACAAACUUUAGACACAAAAUAUCGUGCUCAAGCUAGCAAAAAAAUUGUCAGGUUUUUUGGGCCGGACGUAAACCUGACAAAAUGUGAUGAUUGCUUUUAUCAUGCCUCAUUUGAAACUUGUGAUUUCUUUUUCAGAAUCCCGUGUUUUAACUAUUGUGAAAUUAAACUUCUGUAAAUUCACUGUACGAUUUAUAUUCUAGCGUUUCAAACGGAGCCCUAACUUUUUAAUAGAGAAAUUUCAGUACGAUUUCUGGCAAUCCAUCUUUGUUAGCUAGACAUCUAAUUGUGCACCAUAACAGAUACUUGUCAAAUCUAGAUGUGAUCCCAAAUCAAAAUCUCAACAAAAAUCCGGCCAUAACUAGUGAUUGUUAGACAAAUAAUAAAAGGGUUUUUUUGAGAAAAAAUAUUCUAGUAACUACAUGCAACAAAACUAAGAAUUAAAUUCAAGUAUAACACGUACCUUUUUCUGGCGCCUUUGGUUGUGGUUCUUGAUCCAAAUAUCUUAGGCCAUCCGACUUUUUUUUUGUUAGUUAGACCUCAAAUAUUGAACAUAGCAUAGCAUCAAACCUAAAAUUAAUCAAAGUGAAAUAUGUGAGAAGAAGUUGUGUUUUUAGGUAACGCUGGAUAUGCUAGUCGCAAGGUUACAUUAGGCGCUAGCUAGGCGUUGACCCUCUACCUAGAGCCUAAGCGAGCCUACGCGUUUUAAGGAAUAAACCAGAACAAUAGGCUUAGAUUGGGGGGAAAAGCCCAUCAAAGAGUCUAGCGCACCUUAUCACUCCCAAUCUUAUCCAUCCGCCUCUUCCAAGUUCUAGUCGCACGCUCGCACUCAUCGCCCACUGCUUUUGCCUCCUCCUAGUCGUACUCCUCAACCACUACCUCUGCCUUCUGCUCACCGCUAGCCUCCUCCUGGCCUGCUCGUUGCCUCCAAUGCCACUCGUCAUCACUCCCUCAAGCAACAAAGCUAUGGAUCUAGGGGCACGCCGCAUAUCCUCUGCCUAGCCCCUUAGGAGAGGCGGUGCCCUCCGCCUAGCACAUAAGCAUGCCUGGCGAGCACCUAAUAGCGCCUUUUGGAACACUGGCUAGAAGAUGUCGCUUAGCACUACUAUAGAAAACUUACUGGAGGCGGGCUAAAUCAAUUAACGAAGGCAGUUGCUUUGCUUGCCUUGGUUAACCUAUUAACCGCCGGCGAGCUCGUUCCUAACCCACUAGCCAGAUCUACCCACCGCUAGAGAAGGACCAAGCCCCGUGCCUUCGCCACCAGAUCUGAUCACACCACCAUCAGAUCUGCCCCUCUAGAACCAGAUCCACCAUCAUCAGGGGUUGGGAAGAAGCACCACUCACCGGAUCCGCCGUCAGGGAUGGGAAGAGGUGCCGUCAAGCCAGAUCUGCUGCUUGGGGGUUGAGCGGCAUCGCCAUGCUCGGUGGAGGGGUGACAUCAUCACCGCAGCCUGCUUGGGUUGGAGGAGUGGCACCACCGCUGCAUCCUGCUCGGAUUGGAGGAGGAGUGCCACUGCCAGCUUAGGGGAGGCCCACCGUGCACAAGGGAGAGGAAGAGGCAUCACCGCACACGAGACAAGGAGGGGUGCCGCCGCGUACAGGAGAAGGGCACACAGGGAAAGGAGGGGGGCG
This 9406-nucleotide long non-coding RNA is filed under the name Sorghum bicolor (sorghum). RNAcentral describes it as "long non-coding RNA (SBIC_LNC004049)". Lineage: Eukaryota; Viridiplantae; Streptophyta; Magnoliopsida; Poales; Poaceae. The record is from RNAcentral.